This is a non-coding RNA of Bos taurus (domestic cattle), 73 nucleotides long. NCBI's taxonomy places the organism in Eukaryota, Metazoa, Chordata, Mammalia, Artiodactyla, Bovidae. The record is from Rfam.
UCCCCUGGCAGUCCAGUGGUUAGGACUUGGCACUUUCACUACAGGGGCCCAGGUUCAAUCCCUGGUUGGGGAA